This 253-nucleotide ribosomal RNA is filed under the name uncultured bacterium. RNAcentral's name for it is "partial 16S ribosomal RNA". It matches the Rfam family "Bacterial small subunit ribosomal RNA", at positions 524 to 776 of the family's 1533-position model. The record is from RNAcentral.
UACGUAGGGAGCAAGCGUUGUUCGGAUUUACUGGGCGUAAAGGGCGCGUAGGCGGCAUAUUAAGUCAUCUGUGAAAUCUCCGAGCUUAACUCGGAACUGUCAGCUGAUACUGAUGUGCUAGAGUGCGGAAGGGGCAAUCGGAAUUCUUGGUGUAGCGGUGAAAUGCGUAGAUAUCUGGAGGAACACCGGUGGCGAAGGCGGCAUUCUGGACCGGCAUUGACGCUGAUGCGCGAAAGCCAGGGGAGCAAACGGG